GCGCACCAGGCGCGAAACCUUUACAAUGCACGAAAGUGUGAUAAGGCUACCCGGAGUGCUAAAUUAAAUUUUAGCUGUUAUAGGUGUGUAAAUAACCCUAUGAGAAAGGAGAGGGCAAGGCUGGUGCCAGCCGCCGCGGUAAAACCAGCUCUUCAAGUGGUCGGGAAUAUUAUUGGGCUUAAAGUGUCCGUAGCCGGUUUAGUAAGUUCCUGGUUAAAUCUGGCAGCUUAACUGUCAGUCAGCUAGGAAUACUACUUUACUAGAGGGUGGGAAAGGUUUGAGGUACUCCAGGGGUAGCGGUGAAAUGCGAUAAUCCUUGGGGGACCACCAGUGGCGAAGGCGUCAAACUGGAACACGCCUGACGGUGAGGGACGAAAGCCAGGGGAGCGAAC
RNAcentral lists this ribosomal RNA (392 nucleotides) under uncultured microorganism. RNAcentral's name for it is "bacterial SSU rRNA". It matches the Rfam family "Archaeal small subunit ribosomal RNA", at positions 330 to 724 of the family's 1478-position model. The record is from RNAcentral.